CCAACACUGGGACUGAGACACUGCCCAGACUCCUACGGGAGGCUGCAGUCGAGGAUCUUUCGCAAUGGGCGAAAGCCUGACGAAGCGACGCUGUGUGAGCGAUGAAGGCCUUCGGGUUGUAAAGCUCUUUCGCAUAAGAACAAGAGAGGUUGGUGAAUAACCAGCCGAUUUGAGUGUACUAUGUAAAGAAGCACCGGCUAACUCC
RNAcentral lists this ribosomal RNA (205 nucleotides) under uncultured Chlamydiales bacterium. RNAcentral describes it as "partial 16S ribosomal RNA". It matches the Rfam family "Bacterial small subunit ribosomal RNA", at positions 307 to 504 of the family's 1533-position model. The record is from RNAcentral. Lineage: Bacteria; Pseudomonadati; Chlamydiota; Chlamydiia; Chlamydiales.